AUGACGGAGGCUCUCAGUGAUAAAUAUUUGUGUUUGCCAGCAAAUGUGGGAAUAGAUAAAUCAGACUGUUACCAAUUUCUGAUUGAACGUAUUGUUAAGAAAAUUAGUUGCUGGAAGAAGAAAUUACUAUCUGUCGGUGGAAAGGAGAACCUGUUCAAGGCUGUGAUCCAAGCCAUACCCACCUAUGCAAUGUGGGUCUUUAAAAUUCCUGAGAAAAUUUGUAAAGAAAUUGACGUGAUAGCGCAUUUUUGGGGAGACGACAAGAAUCAGAACAGGAUGCAUUGUAUGUCCUGGAAAAUGUGCGUACCUAAAAAUCAAGGAGGAAUGGAAUUCUGUAAUAUUCACUCUUUCAACUUGGCCUUGCUAGCUAAACAGGCGUGGUGUCUUCUGGAUAAGCCCGAUUCCCUGUGUGCUUCCCGAUUCCUUGUGUGCUUCUAUCCUAAGGGCUAA
This 450-nucleotide ribosomal RNA is filed under the name Triticum aestivum (bread wheat). Its description in RNAcentral is "partial small subunit ribosomal RNA". The record is from RNAcentral. Lineage: Eukaryota; Viridiplantae; Streptophyta; Magnoliopsida; Poales; Poaceae.